Non-coding RNA from Misgurnus anguillicaudatus (oriental weatherfish), 518 nucleotides. NCBI's taxonomy places the organism in Eukaryota, Metazoa, Chordata, Actinopteri, Cypriniformes, Cobitidae. The record is from RefSeq and is a predicted model, not a curated record.
AAUGUAUUUUUUUAUAGAAGGAAGGAAUCAUUGACAAGGUGUACAAGGUGUUGGAAUUAAAUAAAAAAGAUUUGUCCAGCCCCUCUUAUGCUAUGGAAGUCAUGACCCCUGAGAUAACCAUUCUAAUACUGAAAAAGACAGAGGGGUUCCACAGAUAUCAAGCUGAAAACACCUUUUUGGAACAUUCCAGAUUUUUAAGAUAGUGUAACAAUUUGAAAUGUUUCUUUGGCCAGUCGACAGAACCACAAAUCUUUUCAAGGCGAGGCUAAAAACUUUUUGGGAAUUAGCGAUACAUUCACAGAGUGCUUAUGUCCGAUGAUCUCAGUUUGAUUCUGGAUGUGCCAGUGGGGAUUGUGAUAGCUGAAGAUUGGACAACUCUUUAACCCCUCAACUCUCUGAUUAGGUUAAUUAGAAUAGAAAUUGAGAUUGUGAUAGCACUUAGAGAUGUGUGUUAGACAUUAUAUAUUAUAUAAUGACAAUAUAUCCAACAUUAAAGUUAAUUUAAUUAAUAAACACAA